CUGCCUUGAAGAGUAUCUUGCAAACGACGCCGUUUUCCCUAGCUGGAGUCUGCCUCAGAGUUCAAUAUUACUACUUGUUUUUCCUCGUGGAAGAAACAAAUAAAUCAUCGUUUGUUUUGCGGAUUGACAUCAAAGAGGACGACAAGGCAUUGAAUUUAAGGGAUUGAAUCUGUUAAUUUUAGUAAUAUGGGGUCAUCGUCCGUAAUAACCCCAGAAGAUGUGUUGGAGUCAUUGAUGAAUGAUGGAACCAUUGAUGCUCUCAGGUUGAAGAUUAUAAAUCAACUAAAAGCCAAUGAGGAGCUGAAGAACACAACCAUCAAAAUGGCAGCGCAGAGUAAGGUCCUCAACACGUCUGGUGCGGAGAAACAGACCAAAAGAGAAUUGUUUGAUGCACUUAGGCAGGAACUUGAAACGCCAGUGCUCGAGAGGGCCUCAAAAGCAGUUUGGGAGUUGAUUCUAGACAGCAAUGGGCUAGGGAAGGAAAUAAGUGAAACAGUUGAAAGAGUAUUUUGUAAAUUAAGUGGCAGGGAACCUCCACUGUUUCCUCAUUCAAAUGAUAUUGUUCUUCAGCCUGAAAAAGCAGUCGGAAAUGAGAAAAGAAAAGGGAAAGAAAAAGAGUAUGAAAUCGAAAGGGAGAACUCUAAAUCCAAAUCAAAGAAACGAAGUUUCAACGACAUGAAUGCUGAGGGAAAUUGCACUGACAUCACUGGAACCUCUGGUGAUACUCCAGCUGCACCGCAUGAUGCUAAUUAAUCUCCCACAACUAGCAUGAAGAUAUGUUUAUGUGUCAACAGAGACCAUUGUCUCAGAACCUGGUGUAGUCUUUUGACUGGGAAAAAAAUUCACCCUUCAAUUUAGAGUGAUAGAACAAUACAAGAGUGCUAGAUUGCCCUCAAAAGAGACCAUUUGCACUUAGAAGAUGUCAAGUUCAUAGCUUGCGAAUUUUCAAAACAGAUAUGGAGGAAGGUAUUGGCAGCUUGUGAUAGUGAAAGAACUGUGGAAUCUUUGCAGGAUGAACUAAAUUGGGCAGUAUAUACCAGAUUUGGCAUUUGAGAAACAGGAGACUCCAUGGUGCAAGGGACUUAGCAUGACGUCGUUUAACAUAGUUGUGAAGAUUCUUUUCUUUUCUUUUUUUUUUUUUUUUUUGAUAGAAAGACCAUGAGUAAGAAUAAGGGCUGUUUGCUUUAUGAAUUUCUGAUGUAAUGUCUAAAAUUAUUUAGAGCUUCUUCCGACUCUUAAAUAAGAGGAUAAUAUAUUUUAGCAUAUUCGAAUCUACGUUCUCCUGUAUUGACAAUAAUAUUAAUGCCAAUUGAGAUAAGACUUAAUCAAUAUAAA
Gossypium arboreum is the source of this 1335-nucleotide RNA transcript. RefSeq lists it as uncharacterized. The record is from RefSeq and is a predicted model, not a curated record. The transcript is spliced from 5 exons. NCBI's taxonomy places the organism in Eukaryota, Viridiplantae, Streptophyta, Magnoliopsida, Malvales, Malvaceae.